CAGUCGCCGCGGUAAUACGAACCGUGCGAACGUUAUUCGGAAUCAUUGGGCUUAAAGCGCGUGUAGGCGGAUGGGAACGUCGGUCGCUGAAAUACCCCGGCUCAACCGGGGAACUGGCAUCGAAACGACCCGUCUCGAGGGGCAUAGGGGGAGCUGGAACUUCCCGUGGAGCGGUGAAAUGCGUUGAGAUCGGAAGGAACGCCCGUGGCGGAAGCGAGCUCCUGGAUGUCUUCUGACGCUGAGACGCGAAAGCUAGGGUAGCGAACGGGAUUAGAUACCCCGGUAGUCCCUGUCUCUUAUA
Molecule: ribosomal RNA, 301 nt
Filed under: uncultured bacterium
Lineage: Bacteria
Description: partial 16S ribosomal RNA
Rfam family: Bacterial small subunit ribosomal RNA
Source: RNAcentral